This 907-nucleotide long non-coding RNA is filed under the name Theobroma cacao (cacao). RNAcentral's name for it is "long non-coding RNA (TCAC_LNC000800)". The record is from RNAcentral. Lineage: Eukaryota; Viridiplantae; Streptophyta; Magnoliopsida; Malvales; Malvaceae.
UUAGUGGGAGGAAGCUGUCAUAUCAUAUAUGAGCUGUAACCCUUUUUUCCAUUCACAGAUCAUAAUGGUUUGGUUCUUAUAUAUGCCUAAAACCAUAGCCGUCUUAUGCUUUUGCACAAUGUCAAAGCUCAAAACUUAAUUCUUUGCAUGUUUUAUGUUUGAUUUGGAAAAUAUGGGUCCCUAUUUUAAUUAGCUACUCCAUCCAUUAUUCACAUCCACCACUAUCUGAUUAACUUCCAAUAUUUUGUUCUUCUUUACAGACUUUCCUCUCCACUGGCAUAACCAAUACUACUAAAUAAUAAUAAUCUGUCUUUGCUUUUACUAAUUAGUGGUAACGGAGAUGAAGCCUACAACACCGACUGAAGAUAUUGAUCAUGUUGUUGGCUGAUGGGAUUUCAUGGUCACCAAAGGCUAUCGUUGUUGGGGAGGGUGCGAGAAAGGUGCAAGCCCUCUUGCAGCUGCGUUCAUGGUGGUUGGAGCGGUUAUGGUUUUCAUGGAUCACGGUGCUUGGAAAUUUUCUGGGUUUGAUUUGAAAUCGAAGCUAUGAAAGUCAUUCUCCUUGUUAUUAGUUACAAUUGUGAGAUGAUGCUACAAUGGAUUUGAGGAGGAUAUUAAGGCUCCAUUUGUAGCGAUCGCGAAGAAUCGGGGGCUAAUGCUAGGACGUUGCUGAUCACUCGAUCAGGUUCUCUAAUUCCCGAUCAUCUCUUAUGUUUUCAAUGGGAAAGAUCCAAAUAGCUGACUCAAAAUAGUGGGUUUUAAGUUUUUUUUUUUUUUAAAUCAAAGUUGCUCGCUGUAUAGCUUUGUCUAGAUUUAAUUAGACUUAGCUAUUAAGUUUGUAUCAAAAAAAUAAAGAGAAAUUAUUUUUGCUUAGCUAACAAUUAAAACAAAUAAAUAUUAUUAAUAAGGG